AGAGUUUGAUCCUGGCUCAGGACGAACGCUGGCGGCGUGCUUAACACAUGCAAGUCGAACGCUGAAGCCCGAGCUUGCUCGGGUGGAUGAGUGGCGAACGGGUGAGUAACACGUGAGUAACCUGCCCAUGUCUCUGGGAUAAGCGCUGGAAACGGCGUCUAAUACUGGAUACGAGCAUCCACUGCAUGGUGAGGUGUUGGAAAGAUUUAUCGGACAUGGAUGGACUCGCGGCCUAUCAGCUUGAUGGUGAGGUAAUGGCUCACCAUGGCGACGACGGGUAGCCGGCCUGAGAGGGUGACCGGCCACACUGGGACUGAGACACGGCCCAGACUCCUACGGGAGGCAGCAGUGGGGAAUAUUGCACAAUGGGCGCAAGCCUGAUGCAGCAACGCCGCGUGAGGGAUGACGGCCUUCGGGUUGUAAACCUCUUUUGUCAGGGAAGAAGCCUUCGGGUGACGGUACCUGGAGAAAAAGCACCGGCUAACUACGUGCCAGCAGCCGCGGUAAUACGUAGGGUGCAAGCGUUGUCCGGAAUUAUUGGGCGUAAAGAGCUCGUAGGCGGCUUGUCGCGUCUGCUGUGGAAACCCGAGGCUCAACCUCGGGCCUGCAGUGGGUACGGGCAGGCUAGAGUGCGGUAGGGGAGAUUGGAAUUCCUGGUGUAGCGGUGGAAUGCGCAGAUAUCAGGAGGAACACCGAUGGCGAAGGCAGAUCUCUGGGCCGCUACUGACGCUGAGGAGCGAAAGCAUGGGGAGCGAACAGGAUUAGAUACCCUGGUAGUCCAUGCCGUAAACGUUGGGAACUAGAUGUAGGGCCUGUUCCACGGGUUCUGUGUCGUAGCUAACGCAUUAAGUUCCCCGCCUGGGGAGUACGGCCGCAAGGCUAAAACUCAAAGGAAUUGACGG
RNAcentral lists this ribosomal RNA (902 nucleotides) under uncultured Actinomycetes bacterium. RNAcentral's name for it is "bacterial SSU rRNA". It matches the Rfam family "Bacterial small subunit ribosomal RNA", at positions 8 to 916 of the family's 1533-position model. Lineage: Bacteria; Bacillati; Actinomycetota; Actinomycetes. The record is from RNAcentral.